RNAcentral lists this ribosomal RNA (2903 nucleotides) under Enterobacter roggenkampii UCI 39. RNAcentral's name for it is "bacterial LSU rRNA". It matches the Rfam family "Bacterial large subunit ribosomal RNA". Lineage: Bacteria; Pseudomonadati; Pseudomonadota; Gammaproteobacteria; Enterobacterales; Enterobacteriaceae. The record is from RNAcentral.
UUAAGCGACUAAGCGUACACGGUGGAUGCCCUGGCAGUCAGAGGCGAUGAAGGACGUGCUAAUCUGCGAAAAGCGCCGGCGAGGUGAUAUGAACCUUUGACCCGGCGAUGUCCGAAUGGGGAAACCCAGUGUGUUCCGACACACUAUCGUUAACUGAAUACAUAGGUUAACGAGGCGAACCGGGGGAACUGAAACAUCUAAGUACCCCGAGGAAAAGAAAUCAACCGAGAUUCCCCCAGUAGCGGCGAGCGAACGGGGAGCAGCCCAGAGUCUGAAUCAGCUUGUGUGUUAGUGGAAGCGUCUGGAAAGUCGCACGGUACAGGGUGACAGUCCCGUACACGAAAGCACACAGGUUGUGAACUCGAAGAGUAGGGCGGGACACGUGGUAUCCUGUCUGAAUAUGGGGGGACCAUCCUCCAAGGCUAAAUACUCCUGACUGACCGAUAGUGAACCAGUACCGUGAGGGAAAGGCGAAAAGAACCCCGGCGAGGGGAGUGAAACAGAACCUGAAACCGUGUACGUACAAGCAGUGGGAGCACCUUCGUGGUGUGACUGCGUACCUUUUGUAUAAUGGGUCAGCGACUUAUAUUCUGUAGCAAGGUUAACCGUAUAGGGGAGCCGAAGGGAAACCGAGUCUUAACUGGGCGUUAAGUUGCAGGGUAUAGACCCGAAACCCGGUGAUCUAGCCAUGGGCAGGUUGAAGGUUGGGUAACACUAACUGGAGGACCGAACCGACUAAUGUUGAAAAAUUAGCGGAUGACUUGUGGCUGGGGGUGAAAGGCCAAUCAAACCGGGAGAUAGCUGGUUCUCCCCGAAAGCUAUUUAGGUAGCGCCUCGUGAACUCAUCUUCGGGGGUAGAGCACUGUUUCGGCUAGGGGGCCAUCCCGGCUUACCAACCCGAUGCAAACUACGAAUACCGAAGAAUGUUAUCACGGGAGACACACGGCGGGUGCUAACGUCCGUCGUGAAGAGGGAAACAACCCAGACCGCCAGCUAAGGUCCCAAAGUCAUGGUUAAGUGGGAAACGAUGUGGGAAGGCACAGACAGCCAGGAUGUUGGCUUAGAAGCAGCCAUCAUUUAAAGAAAGCGUAAUAGCUCACUGGUCGAGUCGGCCUGCGCGGAAGAUGUAACGGGGCUAAACCAUGCACCGAAGCUGCGGCAGCGACGCUUAUGCGUUGUUGGGUAGGGGAGCGUUCUGUAAGCCGUUGAAGGUGUGCUGUGAGGCAUGCUGGAGGUAUCAGAAGUGCGAAUGCUGACAUAAGUAACGAUAAAGCGGGUGAAAAGCCCGCUCGCCGGAAGACCAAGGGUUCCUGUCCAACGUUAAUCGGGGCAGGGUGAGUCGACCCCUAAGGCGAGGCCGAAAGGCGUAGUCGAUGGGAAACAGGUUAAUAUUCCUGUACUUGGUGUUACUGCGAAGGGGGGACGGAGAAGGCUAUGUUAGCCGGGCGACGGUUGUCCCGGUUUAAGCAUGUAGGCGGAGGUUCCAGGUAAAUCCGGUACCUUUUAACGCUGAGGUGUGAUGACGAGGCACUACGGUGCUGAAGUAACAAAUGCCCUGCUUCCAGGAAAAGCCUCUAAGCAUCAGGUAACAUCAAAUCGUACCCCAAACCGACACAGGUGGUCAGGUAGAGAAUACCAAGGCGCUUGAGAGAACUCGGGUGAAGGAACUAGGCAAAAUGGUGCCGUAACUUCGGGAGAAGGCACGCUGAUAUGUAGGUGAAGCCCCUGCGGGUGGAGCUGAAAUCAGUCGAAGAUACCAGCUGGCUGCAACUGUUUAUUAAAAACACAGCACUGUGCAAACACGAAAGUGGACGUAUACGGUGUGACGCCUGCCCGGUGCCGGAAGGUUAAUUGAUGGGGUUAGCGGCAACGCGAAGCUCUUGAUCGAAGCCCCGGUAAACGGCGGCCGUAACUAUAACGGUCCUAAGGUAGCGAAAUUCCUUGUCGGGUAAGUUCCGACCUGCACGAAUGGCGUAAUGAUGGCCAGGCUGUCUCCACCCGAGACUCAGUGAAAUUGAACUCGCUGUGAAGAUGCAGUGUACCCGCGGCAAGACGGAAAGACCCCGUGAACCUUUACUAUAGCUUGACACUGAACACUGGUCCUUGAUGUGUAGGAUAGGUGGGAGGCUUUGAAGCGUGGACGCCAGUCUGCGUGGAGCCGUCCUUGAAAUACCACCCUUUAAUGGCUGGUGUUCUAACGUAGACCCGUAAUCCGGGUUGCGGACAGUGUCUGGUGGGUAGUUUGACUGGGGCGGUCUCCUCCCAAAGAGUAACGGAGGAGCACGAAGGUUAGCUAAUCCUGGUCGGACAUCAGGAGGUUAGUGCAAUGGCAUAAGCUAGCUUGACUGCGAGAGUGACGGCUCGAGCAGGUGCGAAAGCAGGUCAUAGUGAUCCGGUGGUUCUGAAUGGAAGGGCCAUCGCUCAACGGAUAAAAGGUACUCCGGGGAUAACAGGCUGAUACCGCCCAAGAGUUCAUAUCGACGGCGGUGUUUGGCACCUCGAUGUCGGCUCAUCACAUCCUGGGGCUGAAGUAGGUCCCAAGGGUAUGGCUGUUCGCCAUUUAAAGUGGUACGCGAGCUGGGUUUAGAACGUCGUGAGACAGUUCGGUCCCUAUCUGCCGUGGGCGCUGGAGAAUUGAGGGGGGCUGCUCCUAGUACGAGAGGACCGGAGUGGACGCAUCACUGGUGUUCGGGUUGUCAUGCCAAUGGCACUGCCCGGUAGCUAAAUGCGGAAAAGAUAAGUGCUGAAAGCAUCUAAGCACGAAACUUGCCCCGAGAUGAGUUCUCCCUGAGACUUUAAGUCUCCUGAAGGAACGUUGAAGACGACGACGUUGAUAGGUCGGGUGUGUAAGCGCAGCGAUGCGUUGAGCUAACCGAUACUAAUGAACCGUGAGGCUUAACCUU